GGAAGUGACUGAUCAAUUCAGGGGCGUGGGGUUCGUUUAGGUUUUGCCCUGUGUAUGACCUCGUUUGGAGCCAUGAAACCAGGUGGCUUUUCUACAAUAUAAAGAUGGAAAUGGGAUGAUGUUCAUUGCAAAUUAGGGAAGCUCUUCCACGAGUUCACGAAUGGAAAUAACAUCAAGAGUUUUUCAUCUUCUUAGUGUGCAAGGUGAUCUUAAUGCUCAUUGCUACUCAACUUCCAGAAAAAUACUUGAAGAUAAUUUCUUCUUUCAGCAUAUUAACAUAGAGGAUAUUUCAGAUAAAUAUCAAGCAGUGCAAUUCCUGGAUUUAUGAUGUCUGAGGAAUAGUCUUAGUGGAUUAUCCCAAACUUGACACAUUUUUUGCAAAAUGCUAUACAAAAAGAAGAUACAUGCGAUUAUGACAAGAUUCUCCACUUGGUGUGACCAGUCUCAUACAACCCAAGGCUGUGUGUCCAAAGGCAACUGCACUGAAUACUGGAAAGCAUUUAUUUGUUUGCUAAAUUGCUCUCUUUCCACCAGCGAUAUCAACUCUGAAAUACUUUUUAGAUCUUGACAAUAAUCAAAAGGUAGCCAGGUGCAUCGG
RNAcentral lists this long non-coding RNA (598 nucleotides) under Pan troglodytes (chimpanzee). Its description in RNAcentral is "lincRNA". Lineage: Eukaryota; Metazoa; Chordata; Mammalia; Primates; Hominidae. The record is from RNAcentral.